RNAcentral lists this ribosomal RNA (460 nucleotides) under uncultured bacterium. Its description in RNAcentral is "partial 16S ribosomal RNA". It matches the Rfam family "Bacterial small subunit ribosomal RNA", at positions 355 to 806 of the family's 1533-position model. The record is from RNAcentral.
UGGGGAAUUUUGGACAAUGGGCGAAAGCCUGAUCCAGCAAUGCCGCGUGUGUGAAGAAGGCCUUCGGGUUGUAAAGCACUUUUGUCCGGAAAGAAAUCCUUGGCUCUAAUACAGUCGGGGGAUGACGGUACCGGAAGAAUAAGCACCGGCUAACUACGUGCCAGCAGCCGCGGUAAUACGUAGGGUGCAAGCGUUAAUCGGAAUUACUGGGCGUAAAGCGUGCGCAGGCGGUUUGCUAAGACCGAUGUGAAAUCCCCGGGCUCAACCUGGGAACUGCAUUGGUGACUGGCAGGCUAGAGUAUGGCAGAGGGGGGUAGAAUUCCACGUGUAGCAGUGAAAUGCGUAGAGAUGUGGAGGAAUACCGAUGGCGAAGGCAGCCCCCUGGGCCAAUACUGACGCUCAUGCACGAAAGCGUGGGGAGCAAAACAGGAUUNGAUACCCUGGUAGUCCACGCCCUAAA